This is a long non-coding RNA of Panthera uncia (snow leopard), 755 nucleotides long. RefSeq lists it as uncharacterized. Lineage: Eukaryota; Metazoa; Chordata; Mammalia; Carnivora; Felidae. The record is from RefSeq and is a predicted model, not a curated record. The transcript is spliced from 3 exons.
UCCAUUACAGGGGAAACCAGUGGGAAAGAGCUGUGUCGUGAUAAAGGAAAGCGGACAGCCUUGAUAAAGCUUUUUAAAGGAAUUCCUUCCUUUCCCCACUGUUACCUGUCUGGCCGCAAAUCACUCACAGCCAGACGCAGCAAGGCUUGCAAGAGCUGACUUACUGGCAGAGACCAAACUGUGUCACUUCUCAAAGUGGGAGUAGCCAGACCUGCUGCAGAAGCAGCCUUCCUUCUAGAUUUCAACAUGGAAUUUUUAUGUGGUUGUGCGUGCUCCUCUUCGGUGUUAUAAAACAGUCAAGCAAGAUGAAUAUGGCUGGGAGCUCCUUCCGAGUGAACUGCAGCAAAAGCAAAUGAGCAAACCAAGAGAGAAGACACUGGAUUUGGGAAACCAUGACUGAGAUACAAGACAGCGAUAAUACCAGAAUCAUGUCCAGGCCCUACAUCCUGAGGAAUCCCGAGAUCUCUGAGCCAAGACUGAAGCCAAAUAAGGAAAAGCUUCAGGGGAAGGUCAUUAAGGAAAGAGGUCUUGAGUAAAACUGACGAACCCCAGCCAAGCUCAGAAGACCAAGCCCUUCAGCCACCAGAACGUGCGUUUCAGGUUAAAAGCCAUUUAUUAAUCAGCCUUACAUUACAAGUUGUCCGCCCAUUGGAAGUUCAUCAGAUCUAACCAAGCACCAGAUACUUCAAGUACACGACAGUCCUCUUUAUCUUAGCCAUUUAUUAGCCAGGUCAUUAAAAAGAUAAAUUAAUACA